Molecule: ribosomal RNA, 778 nt
Filed under: Bacillus pumilus
Lineage: Bacteria; Bacillati; Bacillota; Bacilli; Caryophanales; Bacillaceae
Description: bacterial SSU rRNA
Rfam family: Bacterial small subunit ribosomal RNA
Source: RNAcentral
GGGGGGGGGUGCUAAUACAUGCAAGUCGAGCGGACAGAAGGGAGCUUGCUCCCGGAUGUUAGCGGCGGACGGGUGAGUAACACGUGGGUAACCUGCCUGUAAGACUGGGAUAACUCCGGGAAACCGGAGCUAAUACCGGAUAGUUCCUUGAACCGCAUGGUUCAAGGAUGAAAGACGGUUUCGGCUGUCACUUACAGAUGGACCCGCGGCGCAUUAGCUAGUUGGUGGGGUAAUGGCUCACCAAGGCGACGAUGCGUAGCCGACCUGAGAGGGUGAUCGGCCACACUGGGACUGAGACACGGCCCAGACUCCUACGGGAGGCAGCAGUAGGGAAUCUUCCGCAAUGGACGAAAGUCUGACGGAGCAACGCCGCGUGAGUGAUGAAGGUUUUCGGAUCGUAAAGCUCUGUUGUUAGGGAAGAACAAGUGCGAGAGUAACUGCUCGCACCUUGACGGUACCUAACCAGAAAGCCACGGCUAACUACGUGCCAGCAGCCGCGGUAAUACGUAGGUGGCAAGCGUUGUCCGGAAUUAUUGGGCGUAAAGGGCUCGCAGGCGGUUUCUUAAGUCUGAUGUGAAAGCCCCCGGCUCAACCGGGGAGGGUCAUUGGAAACUGGGAAACUUGAGUGCAGAAGAGGAGAGUGGAAUUCCACGUGUAGCGGUGAAAUGCGUAGAGAUGUGGAGGAACACCAGUGGCGAAGGCGACUCUCUGGUCUGUAACUGACGCUGAGGAGCGAAAGCGUGGGGAGCGAACAGGAUUAGAUCCUUGGGUUAGUCCA